This 497-nucleotide ribosomal RNA is filed under the name uncultured bacterium. Its description in RNAcentral is "partial 16S ribosomal RNA". It matches the Rfam family "Bacterial small subunit ribosomal RNA", at positions 28 to 507 of the family's 1533-position model. The record is from RNAcentral.
GAUGAACGCUGGCGGCGUGCCUAAUACAUGCAAGUCGAGCGAACGGACGAGAAGCUUGCUUCUCUGAUGUUAGCGGCGGACGGGUGAGUAACACGUGGAUAACCUACCUAUAAGACUGGGAUAACUUCGGGAAACCGGAGCUAAUACCAGAUAAUAUUUUGAACCGCAUGGUUCAAAAGUGAAAGACGGUCUUGCUGUCACUUAUAGAUGGAUCCGCGCUGCAUUAGCUAGUUGGUAAGGUAACGGCUUACCAAGGCAACGAUGCAUAGCCGACCUGAGAGGGUGAUCGGCCACACUGGAACUGAGACACGGUCCAGACUCCUACGGGAGGCAGCAGUAGGGAAUCUUCCGCAAUGGGCGAAAGCCUGACGGAGCAACGCCGCGUGAGUGAUGAAGGUCUUCGGAUCGUAAAACUCUGUUAUUAGGGAAGAACAUAUGUGUAAGUAACUGUGCACAUCUUGACGGUACCUAAUCAGAAAGCCACGGCUAACUGCGUG